This 443-nucleotide ribosomal RNA is filed under the name Aleiodes cf. minutus BCLDQ00538. RNAcentral's name for it is "LSU rRNA". The record is from RNAcentral. Lineage: Eukaryota; Metazoa; Arthropoda; Insecta; Hymenoptera; Braconidae.
CCUGAGAAACCCAAAAGAUCGAAUGGGGAGAUUCAUCGUCAGCUCAUUUUGUAUAUGUAUUAGUUACGAUGCGGGUUACUACUUGUAGUAUUGCCUGCACGUUCUUGUAUAUUUAGUUGCAAGAUGUUGUCGGCGUGCACUUCUUCCCUAGUAGGACGUCGCGACCCGUUGGAUGUCGGUCUACGGCCCAAGUGAUAGCCUUUAAUGUAAUUUAAAAAUCAUUGAAGAUCCUUGGUGUUUUCUGACCGGCUAUUCGGCGGUACUCGUACGGUAUUUAGCCGCUAAUUUAUUAGCGUCCAUGUCCGUCACAAGCGAGGCCAAUUUACUGAUAGUGCGGACCUAGUGCCGUCGUUGGUAUUGGCCAGCUGUUGGUUGUACGUGAUUCUGGGACUGGCUAAAAUUAAUUACCGGUCGGCGAUGCUACUGCUUUGGGUACUUUCAGG